Non-coding RNA from Podarcis lilfordi (Lilford's wall lizard), 72 nucleotides. Lineage: Eukaryota; Metazoa; Chordata; Lepidosauria; Squamata; Lacertidae. The record is from the annotation of a GenBank genome assembly.
GCCAGUGUGGUGUAGUGGUUAGUGCAUUGGUCUAGGACCCGAGAGACCAGGGUUCGAAUCCCCACUCUGUCA